GUUGACCUCGGAUCAGGUAGGACUACCCGCUGAACUUAAGCAUAUCAAUAAGCGGAGGAAAAGAAACCAACAGGGAUUGCCCCAGUAACGGCGAGUGAAGCGGCAACAGCUCAAAUUUGAAAUCUGGCCCCAGGCCCGAGUUGUAAUUUGUAGAGGAUGCUUUUGGCGCGGUGCCUUCCGAGUUCCCUGGAACGGGACGCCAUAGAGGGUGAGAGCCCCGUACGGUUGGACACCAAGCCUUUGUAAAGCUCCUUCGACGAGUCGAGUAGUUUGGGAAUGCUGCUCUAAAUGGGAGGUACAUUUCUUCUAAAGCUAAAUAUUGGCCAGAGACCGAUAGCGCACAAGUAGAGUGAUCGAAAGAUGAAAAGCACUUUGAAAAGAGGGUUAAACAGCACGUGAAAUUGUUAAAAGGGAAGCGCUUGUGACCAGGCUUGCGUCCGGUGAAUCACCCAGCUCUCGCGGCUGGGGCACUUCGCCGGCACAGGCCAGCAUCAGCUUGCCGUCGGGGACAAAAGCUUCAGGAACGUGGCUCCUCUCGGGGAGUGUUAUAGCCUGUUGCAUAAUACCCUUCGGCGGGCUGAGGUACGCGCUCCGCAAGGAUGCUGGCGUAAUGGUCAUCAGCGAC
RNAcentral lists this ribosomal RNA (625 nucleotides) under Colletotrichum godetiae. RNAcentral's name for it is "eukaryotic LSU rRNA". It matches the Rfam family "Eukaryotic large subunit ribosomal RNA", at positions 1 to 648 of the family's 3401-position model. The record is from RNAcentral. Lineage: Eukaryota; Fungi; Ascomycota; Sordariomycetes; Glomerellales; Glomerellaceae.